ACGGGGGGAGCAAGCGUUGUUCGGAUUUACUGGGCGUAAAGGGCGCGUAGGCGGUCGUGACAAGUCACUUGUGAAAUCUCCGGGCUUAACUCGGAACGGUCAGGUGAUACUGUCGGACUAGAGUACAGAAGGGGCAACUGGAAUUCUCGGUGUAGCGGUGAAAUGCGUAGAUAUCAGCAGGAACGCCGGUGGCGAAAGCGGCGGACUGGACCUUUUCUGACGCUGAGGCGCGAAAGCCAGGGGAGCGAACGGGA
RNAcentral lists this ribosomal RNA (254 nucleotides) under uncultured prokaryote. RNAcentral's name for it is "partial 16S ribosomal RNA". It matches the Rfam family "Bacterial small subunit ribosomal RNA", at positions 525 to 777 of the family's 1533-position model. The record is from RNAcentral.